RNAcentral lists this ribosomal RNA (422 nucleotides) under uncultured bacterium. RNAcentral's name for it is "bacterial SSU rRNA". It matches the Rfam family "Bacterial small subunit ribosomal RNA", at positions 355 to 774 of the family's 1533-position model. The record is from RNAcentral.
UAAGGAAUAUUGGUCAAUGGACGCAAGUCUGAACCAGCCAUGCCGCGUGGAGGAUGAAGGUCCUCUGGAUUGUAAACUUCUUUUAUCUGGGACGAAACACUUCUUUUCUAAGAGGCCUGACGGUACCAGAUGAAUAAGCACCGGCUAACUCCGUGCCAGCAGCCGCGGUAAUACGGAGGGUGCAAGCGUUAUCCGGAUUCACUGGGUUUAAAGGGUGCGUAGGUGGGUAUGUAAGUCAGUGGUGAAAUCCCCGAGCUUAACUUGGGAACUGCCAUUGAUACUAUAUAUCUUGAAUACCGUAGAGGUAAGCGGAAUAUGUCAUGUGGCGGUGAAAUGCUUAGAUAUGACAUGGAACACCAAUUGCGAAGGCAGCUUACUAUGCGGUGAUUGACACUGAGGCACGAAAGCGUGGGUAGCAAACA